Helicoverpa zea (corn earworm) is the source of this 366-nucleotide long non-coding RNA. RefSeq lists it as uncharacterized. NCBI's taxonomy places the organism in Eukaryota, Metazoa, Arthropoda, Insecta, Lepidoptera, Noctuidae. The record is from RefSeq and is a predicted model, not a curated record. The transcript is spliced from 2 exons.
CUUGGCCUGAAAUGUCAAAUUGCUAUUUUAAAAUAACUCUAUUGGAGAAUAUUGCCGCUUCUCACGGCAAGAGAUAGCUUAUAACGCUGUUACUGAACAAAUAUCACAUAGCGGUAAAGAAGUGACAACCACAUAGUUUUUCCAGACCCUUCUAACAAAUCUGUACUCACCAAUAGUGGAUCCGAUAGUUGAGGCCGGUGGACCACGGCGGGUGAUCUGCUGCGGCUCGGGCUCCCCUCCGAAGAUGUCAGUGUGUCCGCCACCAGGGGGGCGAAGCACCCGGCUGGACAGCCGCGUGUUGUCGUUCAGACCAACAUUGAAUGAUGUGGACGUCAUCCUUGCACUGGAAAAUAGGAAAAGACAUGG